AACGUCGGCUGGUUAUAUUAUUUCUUCAAAGUAAAAAAAAAAUCUUUCAUUCUUCAUCUUUGGCAACGCGAUUCUACGUUUAAUAUCGUGUAUUUUCAUCGUUUUUUACAAUAA
Dermatophagoides farinae (American house dust mite) is the source of this 114-nucleotide non-coding RNA. Lineage: Eukaryota; Metazoa; Arthropoda; Arachnida; Sarcoptiformes; Pyroglyphidae. The record is from RefSeq and is a predicted model, not a curated record.